AGUGAACGCUGGCGGUAGGCUUAACACAUGCAAGUCGAACGGCAGCACAGUAAGUGCCUGCUCUUAUGGGUGGCGAGUGGCGGACGGGUGAGGAAUACAUCGGAAUCUAUUUUUUCGUGGGGGAUAACGUAGGGAAAUUUACUCUAAUACCUCACACGACCUACGGGUGAAAGCAGGGGAUCUUUUGACCUUUCGCGAUUGAAUGAGCCGUUGCCGGAUUAGCUUGUUGUCGGGGCAAAGGCCCACCAAGGCGACGAUCCGUAGCUGGUGUGAGAGGAGGAUAGGCCGCACUGGAACUGAGACACGGUCCAGGCUCCUGCGAGACGCAGCAGUGGGGAAUGUUGGACAGUGGUGGCGAGCCUGGUCCAACCAUAGCAAGUCGGAGGAGGAGGCCUUCCGGUUGUGAAGACCUUUUGUUGGGAGAGAAAAGCAGCCGGUUAAUACCCCGCUGUUCUGACGGUACCCAGAGAAUAAGCACCGGCUAACUACGUG
Molecule: ribosomal RNA, 492 nt
Filed under: uncultured bacterium
Lineage: Bacteria
Description: partial 16S ribosomal RNA
Rfam family: Bacterial small subunit ribosomal RNA
Source: RNAcentral